UACCUGCGUGCAGCUCAAGUGGCUUUCUCCGCCAACCCCGGACCACUUGCUUCGGGGCCCGUGGCUGUGAGUGAGCUCCUCAGCUGACAAACGCCAAGUGUUCACACGCUCACUCACAGCGAGCGAAGACGGUUUCUUUCUGUGCAUCGGCUCUGUUUGUCCCUCUUCUUGCGGCCGAUCGGCUUCACCGCCGAGCAGCGUCAGCAUUUGUGCUGGCAUUCAUCGCGCUAUGUGACAUGCAGGCAUGCGUCCAUCUGUGUUGGGCAACAUCGCUGCCAGGGCUUCACGCCUAUUCACCAGAUGCGCGGCCCCGUGUCCAGACUCUUUUCCAUUGUCUCCUCAGCCGUCGCUAACGUCGUCCACGUCGUCGUACCUGUCGGAACUCGUGAGCUGCACUCGCUCUCUUGUCGCGCUCACUCAGCCCUGCGGCAGUGGCGCCGUCGACGCACACCUGCAGCGGUGCGUGCGCGAGUGCACCGAUGCCACUCUCGACGCGCUCUCUUCAUUGCCGCCCAGGGCCCACGUGCCGGCCGAUGUGUGCGUCGUGCUGCUCAUCAUCCUUCGUGCCUCCGCCCAGUUCUGGCAGGAGGACAGAUGUGCUGCCUUGGCACAGCAGUUGGCGGAGCAUGUGGAUGCCAUGGCGCUGCGGACGUGGCGGCCUCGCGUGUUGGUGGCGACCGUGCAUGCGUUCGCCAAAGCGUGCCCCUCGCAGGCUCAGUCGCCCCUCGUAACGGACUGCUUCGUGCGGCUGCAGCACUGUGAGGCGCAGCUCACAGAGUACGAUGUGGCGACCGUUCUGUGGUGCCUUGCGACACUGCAAGCCGGUGAGAGCCAGCUGCGAUUGUGGAGCUCCCUCUGCAAGCGCGCCGCACUGUUGUUCUCGCGCAUGAACCGCGUAAGCCGCCUCACCGUGAUGCAAGCCCUGCUGCUGCAGUCUUCCCACCUAUGUGAGUCGCAAGCUGAGCUGCUUCGCGUCGCACAUGCAGCGAACAGGGAAUCGGCGGAGCUCACGUCACUCGACGACUGUUGGCAUGAAGGCGGAUGGCGGCACCCUGCACGUGGUCCCCGUCGCACUAGAUCACGUAAUUCGGAAUCCUCUCUCUCCUCCUCCACACCAGGCAGCACGGGCUCGACCUCGCAGCUGCUCCAGUAUACUACGCACGCACUCUCUGACGAGUCGCUGGUGCGGUUGCUCAUUACACUUUCUGAGAGAAGCGCGGGGGCAACCGAGGAGCUGCGCCUGGUCGUAGCACAUCUCAUGCUGCGCGGCUCCCUGUCCGAUCGACUCUGCCUACAGUUGCUGCGGUUUACCCAGCCACAGUGCACGACCGUUUCAGUACACAUAACGGGCCAGGCAGAGCAGCGGCCGGGGGAACACGCGUCUUCGACAGCGCAGCAUGCAGAGAUGUCGGUGCUGCUCCGUAAGGCACGACGACACGCAGUACGGCAACUGAUUUGUGUCUUGCGCAGUGGGGUAGCGCCGCCGCCACGUGACAUCAUUGAGGCGCUUUGCGUAGAGCACUGUAGUCUGUGCGCGGGACGAGCAUCCGAAGGCCAGCCGAGACCAGGCGACGCCGUCGACGCAGAGUCUGUGGAGUCUGUCUGGGCUGCCAUUGUGAGGCUCUUCUGCGGCACGUCAGCAGACUUCGCGCGCGCUUUCCGUUUUGGCAGCGGCGAGGAGCUGUGGGGCUGGCACUGCAUCACCGCGUACUUGAGGGCAGUGAGCCCGGCAAGCGGUGACCUGACUUGUGAUGCGCCAGCGUCGCUGGGCACCACCCUCAGUGCACUGGAGCAGCAGCUCAUCUCCGCCACGCACCCGUCGCGCUACUGGCCCAACACCCGAGAGCGUAAGACGAGGUGCGCCGAGGUAGUGGUAGCCGCUACGCACUGUGCGGGAACGCAGUUGCUAACCUACUGCGCCACGACAACUUCGCCCUAUGACACCGCCCUCGCGCUGCUCGGCGAGUGUGUGCGAGAACUUGCGACACCGCAGGCGGCUCUCCCUGUUCCAAACACGCUGAGGCUGCUCUCUGCCGUGGACGAGGCGCCCACGGUCGUUGCCGCACUCGUGCAGCCGCUGAAGCCGUUUCUCUUGGCGCAGCUGGAGACACACACGGGCCGUCCCUCUGGCAUGUUGCCAGAUCUAAUUCAGUACCUCACAAGCAUCCUCGCUCGUCCGCUGGCGGCGUGGCAGGCACCGUCGCGCGUGCGCGUCUCGGACGCUGUGCUGGACCUGUAUCUUCGCGUACUGCUCCAAGAGCAGCAGCAAACUCUCUCUGCUGUGCAGUCGGAGCUGCUGGUACGCUGCUUGCAAGAGCGCCGAACGAUCGCAGAGGAGCUGGAGAACGCCUUCAUGAUGCUUCUGACUCGCCGCCUCGGGCAGACGGCAUCUUUUCUGAACACUGUACGACUGCCGAUCGCUGCUCUGAGUGGGCUUGUGGAGCUUGCCGGGACCUUGCCGCGCUGCAAGGCCGCAUCCACCACCGCGACGGCCACCAUGAUCAUCAGCACCCUCCUGGACUUACUCAUUCAACAGGCCAUUCCAGCGUGCACUACAGCAGAGGAGCUUAUAGCUGGUGCCAUCGCGUUGCGCGACGAUGCCGUGGCAGACCUGCAGAGAACGUCCGCCAUGGCAGCGGCAGUGCAGGCAAGGGGCUUUUCGCUGCUCACGUCCACCGAGGUGACAUGGACACCAGUUCAGAAGGCGUACCUUAUUGCCGCCCUCGUGUGCGUGAAUGUGGACCCGACGCCAGAGCUCUUGCAAGCACUGCGCAGGGAUCACCACACGCAGGCAAGGGGAGCGUUGAAAUCCACGAACUAAAAAAUGCGCAGUAUGUGCGCGCGUUCAUGCAACGCUGUGCGUCUGCGCGUGAGAGUGCGCAUCGCGGGCUUCUGCGGUGGGAGCGCCGCCCCCUUUUCUUUUCGUGUGUGUGUGUGCGUGUAUGUGCGGAGGGUUUGCUUUGCGCGUACGCGCUGCGUCGUGCUGCGGAC
RNAcentral lists this unclassified non-coding RNA (2991 nucleotides) under Leishmania donovani. RNAcentral describes it as "gene:LdHU3.20.0230(CDS-product:hypothetical_prote in_conserved)". Lineage: Eukaryota; Euglenozoa; Kinetoplastea; Trypanosomatida; Trypanosomatidae. The record is from RNAcentral.